CCUACGGGUGGCAGCAGUGGGGGAUAUUGCACAAUGGGGGAAACCCUGAUGCAGCGACGCCGCGUGGGUGAAGAAGCGCCUCGGCGCGUAAAGCCCUGUCAGCAGGGAAGAAAAUGAAGGUACCUGCAGAAGAAGCCCCGGCUAACUACGUGCCAGCAGCCGCGGGAAUACGUAGGGGGCAAGCGGUAUCCGGAUUUACUGGGUGUAAAGGGGGCGCAGGCGGCGAUGCAAGCCAGGAGUGAAAGCACAGGGCCAAACCCCGGGACUGCUCUUGGAACUGCGUGGCUAGAGUGCAGGAGGGGCAGGCGGAAUUCCUGGUAUAGCGGUGAAAUGCGUAGAUAUCAGGAGGAACACCGGUGGCGAAGGCGGACUGCUGGACUGCAACUGACGUUGAGGCCCGAAAGCGUGGGGAGCAAACAGGAUUAGAUACCCGAGUAGUC
Molecule: ribosomal RNA, 440 nt
Filed under: uncultured bacterium
Lineage: Bacteria
Description: partial 16S ribosomal RNA
Rfam family: Bacterial small subunit ribosomal RNA
Source: RNAcentral